This 569-nucleotide ribosomal RNA is filed under the name Staphylococcus aureus. Its description in RNAcentral is "partial 23S ribosomal RNA". It matches the Rfam family "Bacterial large subunit ribosomal RNA", at positions 654 to 1226 of the family's 2925-position model. Lineage: Bacteria; Bacillati; Bacillota; Bacilli; Caryophanales; Staphylococcaceae. The record is from RNAcentral.
GUAAAUGUGGAGCCGUAGCGAAAGCGAGUCUGAAUAGGGCGUUUAGUAUUUGGUCGUAGACCCGAAACCAGGUGAUCUACCCUUGGUCAGGUUGAAGUUCAGGUAACACUGAAUGGAGGACCGAACCGACUUACGUUGAAAAGUGAGCGGAUGAACUGAGGGUAGCGGAGAAAUUCCAAUCGAACCUGGAGAUAGCUGGUUCUCUCCGAAAUAGCUUUAGGGCUAGCCUCAAGUGAUGAUUAUUGGAGGUAGAGCACUGUUUGGACGAGGGGCCCCUCUCGGGUUACCGAAUUCAGACAAACUCCGAAUGCCAAUUAAUUUAACUUGGGAGUCAGAACAUGGGUGAUAAGGUCCGUGUUCGAAAGGGAAACAGCCCAGACCACCAGCUAAGGUCCCAAAAUAUAUGUUAAGUGGAAAAGGAUGUGGCGUUGCCCAGACAACUAGGAUGUUGGCUUAGAAGCAGCCAUCAUUUAAAGAGUGCGUAAUAGCUCACUAGUCGAGUGACACUGCGCCGAAAAUGUACCGGGGCUAAACAUAUUACCGAAGCUGUGGAUUGUCCUUUGGACAAU